Molecule: ribosomal RNA, 2647 nt
Filed under: Triticum aestivum (bread wheat)
Lineage: Eukaryota; Viridiplantae; Streptophyta; Magnoliopsida; Poales; Poaceae
Description: partial small subunit ribosomal RNA
Source: RNAcentral
UUUUCUUACCGCAGAGGCACACCCGACGUCUUUAGAAUGGUAGUAAUGACCUGACCUCAGCCGUAGAGCGGGUACGAUUACGGCAUUACCGAGUACCCGGUACCGCUACUUACCCCAUCGGCACCGCCACGUACGGGUUCACAUGAGGUGUCAGGUGUGCGAAGCGAAAGGGGGUGUGUUUGUGUUUAAGAUAAGCGAACGGCGAGCCGGGAGCAGGGGCAGAGUAUUUGAAGUCGAAACAAGAACCAGAGAAGAGCGGAACGAAGCGCUCCAUCCCCUCCCCGCUACCACCCCAGCGGCUGCUUCGCCGCCCGCUACUCCUCCGGCGACCUCUUCCGGCCCCACCACCCCGAGCGGCAGGACCAGUGCCGCUGGCGGCGCGACGACGACGACGACGAGCAGGCGUGGCGCAGCGAGGCGAUGUGGCGGCGGCAGCUGAUGCGCGAGCGCAGGGGGUCCUUCGAGACCUCGCCGCCCCAGAGGUAGCGCCGGCUCCGCAGCGGAAGCGGCAGGGGCCUCUUCCCCGUGCCCCGGCCACGCCGCCGCUACCGCCGUCACCUCCUCCUCCUCACGCUGGACAAGCUGCCCUCGACCCACACCCUGCUGUCGAUGGGCGAGAUGCUGAGGUUCCUGACGGGGAAGAACCUGCCACCCAAGGCCACGAGGCUCUUGCCGGCCGGCCUGUGCAGGAUACAGUUUACCGCCACCGUCGGCAGCGCGACGCUAGAUGGGUCUAAACUACGGUUCAAAUACGAGCUCUUCGAUGCCUUAUCUUCUCAUCAUAAGCAACCACUAAGUUAACCUUCCUUAGUUACCCUCAGAGACGAAACAUACGAGAGAUCACAACAAGGGUUGUUCUUCAGGUAGAUACUUUAAUUACCUUCAGGGUAGUGUUUCGUGUGCCCAAAGAACUAAAAGUUCAAAUCGCUGAUGUUAACGUGUCACCUCAUAAUGUCUAGAGGAAAAUAUCGGGAAGUACCGGCACGUGGUCGGCCUCGGAGAUUCCAACAAUUCAUGUGUUAAUUCCACCUACGGUACCUAACCUACAGUCUGGCACCAUUCACCUCGUUACGACUAUAAAACUAGAAAUUGUGUCCCGUAACCACCUUGAUGCUCUUUUGUUAAUCUCCCCCGCGGAUAAAAGUUCUUCCGUCAUUCCACUUCUACUUCUACUGACAAUAACUACGUAUGGUUUUUAGUUAUGUUUGUGAGAAGUUAACCCAAGUGUUUUUUCAAUUGUGUUCGUUCUGGGUCCAGUAGAAGGCAUGAAUACGAGGACACGUGAAGUCCAGACAGAUUGCUUGGUGAAUAGUUAGUGACGAUGCAUAAGGAAAAAUACAAAGGAACGAUAUCGUAAAAGUAACUCUUACUAAUACAAAGUUCCGUGGUUUGUUAGUAGCGUACAACAACCGAACUGUGUUAUACAAAACCCGAGUCUUAAAUAAGUAAUACCAAAUAUAAGCUUGAAGCGGUUUUGUAAUAACAAGCUAUAUACUAGGUGGAAAGCGACCGGCAAAAAUGUUAAAAUGACUUAUAUACUCUUACGCCCAACCCGAAAGCCACCUUUCGCCACGAAGAACAUAGAACAGAUCCUUGAACUUUUCGUUUAUUACCUCCGAAGGACUGAAGACACGACAUUUUGUGACCUAAUUAAAGAGGGUAAGGGUAAAAGUUUGGUUAAAUUGUUAUCAACCUGUUUAACUGACUAGGUAUUGAUCUCAUUAGGUACAAAAGGUAUCUCCGCCGCUGACCUUCUCACCUCCCUCAACGGUGAACCUUUGAGAAGGACUACGCUGUGGCAAAUUUAGCGACCUCGUUACCCGCCUGUUCGAACUCGGACAGGUAUUACAAGAACCCUCGUCGUGUUUUGGGUUCUACGGACCUAAUCGAUAUGACUUGCACUGUGUCUACUGCCGUGUCGCUUUUCUACCAGUGAACAGUCACAUGUAGUCGGGAAGCCCCGGACAGGGGGACGCAUCUGUCCUAACGUCGGUAACCACGAACGGACCUCAAGGACUAUGGACCUUGCUCGAACACAUGCGGCAGAAGUACUUUUCCGUUUGCUACCACCUGGUUUUACAAAGGGAACGACGAAGGUCUUGCGACUUGUGUUCAACUGAUUUUAAGAUACCCAUCCGAUGGGCUACGAGCGGGCCACUUCGAAACAUAGACUCCAACCAACCACUAGGAGGACGUGAUACUAAAACGUUCUAUCCUCGACCGAACAUCCUUCAACAUGGUGAGAUUAGACAACAUACAACUCUCCUCUCACGUUUAUUCUCGUUUUAAUUUCUUUCCGUAUGGUGAUACAAAGUGUCUCCGUCGGUUUCAAAAUCGGCUACACUAGUAUCUAAUCUCCCCGACGUAAGCUACUACAUGUAUCAAAUAAUGAAAUAAACCGACGACAGUAUAACCCCCUCAAUGGCACCACUAACAUACAUUAAGUCCUUAAAAUAGGAGUUUCCAUACAAGAGUCACCGAGGCCGUCAACUAAACGUGUAAAGCCCCAAAAAUAGGGUAGGCCUUGUUUACAUUUAUAAAUUACUCUUUACAUUAUCACGUCUGUAAAAGACCCUACUGUAACAUUUUACAUAACAAAAGUACCGUUAAAUACAACAGCAUUCUUAUCGUUCAUGAAAAUGGUUUG